UAUUAAAAUUUUCAUCUAUUUUUACUGUUAAAAAUUGACAUGGAUGACGAAAUAACCAGAUGGUUACACGUGACGUGUCACAUGUGCUUCAUAUUGGUAUAUAGGGAUCAGUUUUUAAUAUUAGAAAUAGAUGAAAUUUAUUUAGUA
This is a non-coding RNA of Gossypium hirsutum (cotton), 147 nucleotides long. The record is from Rfam. Lineage: Eukaryota; Viridiplantae; Streptophyta; Magnoliopsida; Malvales; Malvaceae.